Molecule: ribosomal RNA, 497 nt
Filed under: uncultured bacterium
Lineage: Bacteria
Description: partial 16S ribosomal RNA
Rfam family: Bacterial small subunit ribosomal RNA
Source: RNAcentral
GAUGAACGCUGGCGGCGUGCCUAACACAUGCAAGUCGAGCGGAAAGACAAUGAGCUUGUGCUCUUACCGGUAGCGGCGGGCGGGCGAGUAACGAGUGCAUCACAAUCUUCUUUUUCGGGGAGAAUAACGGAAAAACGCAGACAAUAAUACAGCAUAUCACGUACGGCUGAGAGCAAUGGAGCUUCACGGCUUUCGUGUCAGAAUUAGCUGGUUUCGCGUUGGCUUAGCUAGUUGGUAAGGUAACGGCCUACCAAGGCGACGAUGCGUAGCUGAACUGAGAGGGUGAUCAGCCACACUGGAACUGAGACACGGUCCAGACUCCUACGGGAGGCAGCAGUGGGGAAUAUUGGACAAUGGGCGCAAGCCUGAUCCAGCCAUACCGCGUGGGUGAAGAAGGCCUUCGGGUUGUAAAGCCCUUUUGUUGGGAAAGAAAAGCAGCAGGUGAAAACCUCGCUGUUCUGACGGUACCCAAAGAAUAAGCACCGGCUAACUUCGUG